This 1321-nucleotide long non-coding RNA is filed under the name Androctonus crassicauda. The record is from RNAcentral. Lineage: Eukaryota; Metazoa; Arthropoda; Arachnida; Scorpiones; Buthidae.
CAAAAGAACAAUAGAGUUCUAAAUAAUCAAAAAUAUAUUCCAUCAAUUAAUUUUUUUUAUAUCAAGAAAUUUCCCAUACAAUUUGACCCAACUCUGUUUCCUGCCAUAAUUGCUGACCUCACCCUAACUAAUUACUAAGUAAGACUUAACACACACAUAACAAAAUCAUAUGUCGGACACAAAUAGCAAAAAAAUAAGUAAAUUUAAACUAUGUAGAAUUUUAAAAAUAAUGUUAUAUGAUGCUCUGGAUUUCAUCAUCAUCCUAGAGGAUUGUUAUAUGUGGGGUUGUCCUGGUGACAUUUAUUAUACUCAAAUAGAUUUCAUCAUCAUCAACACAAGAUGGAGAACAUCAAUUAAAGACUAUGUGACUUAUCUGGAAAAGAUUGUGGGAGUGACCAUCAAUAUCUUGAAGCAGAACUGAAACUUAAAGAAGUCUAUAGCAAAUAAAAUUAUAACAUAUGAUACAUAAAAAUGGAUUUAUUAUUAGACAGCUUCAGAAGUGAAAAACAUUUUGGAUAAUAUCAUGACUAAUGAAGACACAGAAAAUUUAUUGGCUUAGAACAAAAAGUGCACUAUAAAAAACAGCUGCUAAGGCAAAUGAUGUAUCUAACACUAAUAAUAAAAGAAAACUGUGAAUAAGUGAUGACACAUGGAACAUAAUACAAAUAUGUAAGACACAAAAAAAAAAGUUGGAAACAACUCAAAGAUAUAGAAAAAUAAGCAAAGAAGAAGAAAAUGUUGGAAAGAUAAAAAAUCAGUUUUUAAGCAAAAUUUGUAGAAACUACAAUUGCAUAACAACACAAAUGAAACUAAAGAUAUGUUCGUAAAAUUGAAGCAGAUCACAAGAAAAUUCUCAUCUCAACACACACAAAUCAGAAAUGAAAUUAGACAAUUGCUAACUGAUAGCAGUGAUAUUAAAGAACAAUAGAAGAAUUAUUAUAAAAAAACUUUUUAAAGAUGAUGACAAGGACACUCAUGACAGUGAAGUUCCAACAUUCGACUUAGAAUCUGACAUUAGUUUAGAGGAAGUAGAUUUUUGUUCUUUCUGAAAUAAAAUCAGACAAAACCUCAGGAAAAGAGAUAACAUUGUUAUUGAAAUGAUCACAUGAUGAAACUGGAACCAAAAUAAUAGUCACAAUCUGCAAAUAAGAUUUGAAGGAUCUAUAAAUGGCCUGACAACUGGACUAGUUAGUCUCUAUUUCUUUCCAAAAGAAAGGAGCUAAAGAUUGCCAUGAAAAUUAUAGAAAAAUAUCAUUUAUUUCUCAUACUAGCAAAGUAAUGCUACAAAUUAUCCUGGAAUGUCUAAAAGCUUAUCUGUUGC